Long non-coding RNA from Lagopus leucura (white-tailed ptarmigan), 250 nucleotides. RefSeq lists it as uncharacterized. NCBI's taxonomy places the organism in Eukaryota, Metazoa, Chordata, Aves, Galliformes, Phasianidae. The record is from RefSeq and is a predicted model, not a curated record. The transcript is spliced from 3 exons.
AUUAGGCCAGCAUUUCCUGUGGUUAGUGUGCAAUUUAUUUGAAAAGCGAGCUUUGACUCUCCUGCAUGGCAAACCCUGCAGCCCCUGAGCGAUGUGAAGAGGCACUUUUGCCUACAAAUCAAGUCUGUUUCACUUUCAAGGGUGCACAGAUCUGCUCUGAAAACAAUCUCUGUACUAGAAGACCCAUUUUUCUAACAUGCAGUAUUUAUUUUACCGAGUUCAACCAGCAGUUCUCUGUGGCUUAACCAGG